This 1209-nucleotide unclassified non-coding RNA is filed under the name Hevea brasiliensis (rubber tree). Lineage: Eukaryota; Viridiplantae; Streptophyta; Magnoliopsida; Malpighiales; Euphorbiaceae. The record is from RNAcentral.
GAAUAAAAAUCCUGAAAUAAAAAGGAAAACUACUUCUUUUUAUUCAAAAAUGGAAACUAAAAUUGGUAACAAGCAGAAACUUUUUCCUUUAUAGUAACUUUACUUUCACAUUAAUGCGGGUUUCACAUUUAAAAUUCAUCUGGUUGCGAGGUGCGAGAGCAAGGAAUAGAAAGAGAUUUUCUUUCGUUUUUGUGUGUUUAGCUAGGGUGUAGUUCUCCUUUGUUUUUGUUUAUAGGUCUGCAGUUUACCAUGAGGAUUUCUUUUGAACUAUUUGACUCUAUAUUAGCUUGCAUGUGUUUCUGUGUUUGUGUUUUUGCUCGUGUAUGAAAAUUGCUUCAAUGGCUGUGGUAUAGAGAGGGAGGUACAUUGAGGAUUAAGAGUCGGUCGAGUAAGUGUCGCCCCUCCGACUAUAUGAGAAUGAGAAGCUAUAGGGCUCUCCUUUUCUCUCUAAUUUCUGCUACUUUCAAGCUUUGGAUCUAGGGGUCUUAGGACUGCUUUGUGGGUUUGGAUUAUUCUAGAUUGGUGUUUCUUUAUGCUUUGUUGGUUUAAGCUUUCUCUUUCGAUCCAGUCACACCAACGCUUGAGAGAUUCGGUCCGCUUUGUUGGUUUAUGCUACCAUGGCUAGUGCUUUUGUUUUCAGGAGGUCUUCUAACUUGCCUGGCCUUUUUCACCGAGAGUUGCUUUCAAGACUCCCUUUUCAGGCAAUAUCAACCAUUUGUAGUCCCUUGAUAAUUCAAUUGCAGUCGUCUUUCCUUGGUGAAAUUCCAAUCAUCUCUCUGCGCAACCCCAUCUGCGACGACUUGUGGUUUCCUCAAUCGAGUGAUGGGUCCGGGCAUGGGUUCAUCGUCUGCAAGAGUUUUUCAGUGGGCUUGGACACUCUUUUAGAAUAGGGUUGAGUUUGUUUAGAUAGGCCCCUAUAACUUAGGUCUUGUAAGUGGUUUCAUACGUCAAUGAAUUUUAAUAUCUUUCAAGAAAUAAAAACAUUUAAAAUUCUUGUUAUGCAAGCUUUUACAUGAAUGUGAAAGAAAAGAGGAUUUUCAAAUGGUAAGGUUACUUCCACGACUAUAAUAAUUGAUACCACAAUUUUUUAAACAUUAUUUUAAUUGUUAAGACUAAUUGUCUUCCUACUACUAUUCACAUUUCAUGAAUAAAUUUUUAAUGUGGCAUCUGAUUAAUUUUGCAUUCAUUUUUUUUUUUAUUUUUCUAUCA